GGCUCAGUGGUGCAGUGGUUAACACCUGUUCCCUAGACAGGUGCGGGUUCGAAUCCCGCCUGAGUCA
This 67-nucleotide transfer RNA is filed under the name Nippostrongylus brasiliensis. It matches the Rfam family "tRNA". Rfam says of the family: Transfer RNA (tRNA) molecules are approximately 80 nucleotides in length. Their secondary structure includes four short double-helical elements and three loops (D, anti-codon, and T loops). The record is from Rfam by way of RNAcentral. Lineage: Eukaryota; Metazoa; Nematoda; Chromadorea; Rhabditida; Heligmosomidae.